Long non-coding RNA from Cyprinus carpio (common carp), 1342 nucleotides. The record is from Ensembl. NCBI's taxonomy places the organism in Eukaryota, Metazoa, Chordata, Actinopteri, Cypriniformes, Cyprinidae.
GAAAGACGAUCGAACCAAUCAGAGUAGGUAUGGGGCGGGGUUUCACGUGCAACCCCGCCCCAGGUGCAGCCCCGCCUCGAUCUGCAGGCUGCAGCCGGGUGUAGUUGGACUAACGUGACUGCAUAGAUUUAGUUUUUUCUAGUUGAGCUGAGCUUGUAAGCAAUGAAAAGCUUAUUGAAGUAUCAAAGCAGGACACACAGGGGUUGCAAGGUUAUUAUCCCUAUGACUAUUUUAUGCACCCACCCUUCUGUAAUAACGAGAGGAAAUGAGUAGUUCCAAAAGGUUCAAAUCAAAAUGGGAGAAACAAAUGGUUUGCAGUGUAUUUAUUUUAAGUCUAGUGUCUUUCAGCUUUUUCUAGACACCCCCUGUCCCAUUUCAUUGGGGUUUGAACAUAAUAAAAAAUAUGAAAACAAAUGCCUUGUGCAUCAGGUUUCUAAUGAAAUUAAUUUAUUCAUAUUCAUGUUUGUUUUCAGAUUAUGCCCAAAUCAAAGUCCCAUAAGACUAUGAGAGACGAGGCGUGGAUGUCCCGCCUGCAGCAGUUUGCAUCCUCAGGGAAUUGGCCUUCUGAUGCUGGAAACAGACCUGCUCCCUGUCAGAGGAAAUGGUAUGACCUCUUUCAGCAGAUAAAGAAAUGCCCGAUGCAGAUUCCUGGACAGCCAUCGGUGAACUGCUUAUGUGGAUUCCAUUCGCACCGGGAUGAAGAUGAUGAUGCUGCCCCUCCUGCAGCUGAUUCGGACUCCGCUCAUGAUCCUGGUCCGGUUCAGUUUUGGCUUCCAGAUGAGAUGACAGAAACAAUCCCGUCAGAAGAUCAGAGGUGGAUCGCAACAGAGCUCUUUCACGGUGACAAACUUCGUCCAGAUGUGGAAAUGUGGUACAAUCCGCCGGUCCCACCCCUGAUCUCCAUCCAGGCUCCAUCUCCAGAGCAUUUCCUCAAUCACAGCCUUCUGGUAUGGAUGCCCAACCACUUGUGGAAGGUCAAGGUGCUUUGUUCAGUCUGCGGCAAACAGCUCAUUCACCACAAUGUCGACAAGAGAGUGUGAAAGGUCCUGGACAUUGACAGCUACUAUCUUAUGAUGACGGAGACGCUCCAGUGUACUUCAUGCCAGCUAAACUAUCUGUCCUUCAGCCAGACUGUACUGAACCAGCUGGACUUACCUUGCCGUCAGUUGUUCCGACUGGUUUUGACAGAGCAGUGAGUUACAAUCUAACAUCAUGACUGAUAUAAUAACACAGCCAUGCAUCUUGAAGAAAAAAAUCUGAUGCAAAAAAGGCCUAAAAUUACCUAGUUUAAUGAUGCUGAGUUCAAAAAUAUCAAUAAAACUUUACAUCACAUACUGUUUCA